UAAAAAUUAUAAAUAACUGUGGCGGAAAGCAUAAAUAUUAUUAUUACUAAUAAUUUUUUUUAUAAUAAAUUAUGAUGGCACAUUUUCCCCUAAAUUGUAUUGUUAAUAGUUACUGUAUAACACCUUUAUAUGAAAAGUGAUUAGAUUUUAUGCUGUGUGUUAGAUGGCAAUUUACUGUUGUGCACUUUGAAUAUUUAUAAAUAUUUUUAACAGAGGUAUAAUGCAGAGUUACUCACUCAUGUUUAUUUUUUUUGUAAGUAGUUCGUGAAAUGUCAUCAUUGUCUCAUUUGUCUGUUCAUAACUCAAAACUAUAAACAAAUAAUGUAAAACAACAUCCAAAUAUGUAAAUUUAUACAGUUUAAUAUUUUACUUGUAUUGCAGUAAUUCAAUGCAGUACUAUAAUUCUUAACCAUCAAUGCACUAUGCAUCUGUAAUAUUAUAAGUUCUACUAUUAUAUUGUUUUAAUUGUUGAUAGUGUCUUUAUUAUUAUUAUUAUUAUUAGGUAUUAAUUACUUUUAUGAAGAAAUCCACUGGUGCUCUAUUGGGUUCAGACAUUUUUAGUUUGAGUAAUGUUUAUGCAUUUAUAGUUUUGUGGUUUCUAUAGAAACAAAUAACCUCAUAAAGUUUUGAAGUUAGUUCCGCCCUUUUAUCUUCUUAUUAUUUAAGGUUUUAUCAGAAUAUUACAGGAUAUCAUGAUUAGUUAUGGACUCAGGACUGUGCCAAAAAGAUAUCAGUACUUAAUGACGAUACAAAUGGUCCAACAAGAUCUAAUUUUUUUAGCAGAAAUCACCUUAAAGUUGAAGAUAAUUGUCAGAUAAAAAAAAAACAUAAUUGCAUAAAACCGAUAUAGGGAUAUCGACGUCUAGAACAUUAUUCGUCUCAAUUCAACAUACUUUCUACAUUCCCUAAAUAUAAUUAAAAUAAAAGUUAAAGCCAUUAAAUAUUUAGAUAUAGUUUAUAAGUUAUAAAUCACUUAUAACCUACCUAUAGCUAACAGCUAAUCUAUAGCUAAUAAAUAUAAUUUAUAAUAAUAUUAUUUUAGUACUUAGUGAGUAGUUUGGUAAAUAGUAUAACUAGUAUAAGUAUUAAAAAAGCAGAACCGCGCGCAAUUCGCAAAGGUAAUUUAAGUAAGAGACAUACCAAUAAGGUGGGUACCAUAUAUUAUAUUUAUAAUAUAGUCUAUAGUAUAGACUCUAUAGCAGGUUAGGUUAGGUUCUGUAAUCAUAUUAGUAUACUAAUUGGAUAUUAUUUUAUACGUAAUAUAAUAAUUGCAUGCUUUCAUGUUUUACGUUAAUUUAUACGAUUUAUUAAUUGACAUAAAAUAAAUAAUAUUAUUGUUUACUCAAUAUUAUAUUUACCGGUUUAUGUCGUAAUAAUACCUAUUUGUUCAUUUAUAAUAGCUAUUUUUAAACUAAACAAUUCUUUAUUCUGCAGUUCUUCAUUCCUAUUUUUGAAUCAUAUAUUGUAUCUAACUAUUUUUUAAUUAGUUAAUUAAGCAAAAACAUUCCACAGACCGUGUGGCUUGCCAAAAACACAUGCUCAUCUAAACAACGUAAAUACAAGCUAAAAACCGUAUUCUUAGAUCUUUAAUUUGAAGUAGAUGCAUAAAAUGUUAAAUAAUAAUUUAAUAACAGACAUUUUUCGUAGAUGGUUAAAUAAUUAAUAUGAUGGAUUAAUGUUAUAUUAUUUAUUAUUAAAAACUAAUUUAAAAACUAUUAUGUGGAAAUGAACACCAAUAAUUUACAAGAAUUUCCAUAGAAAUUUGUUUUCUAAUGUAUUAAUUUUAAAAUAAUAAUAGAAUAAUAGAUAAUAAUAUAAUUUAUUUAUCUGUAGUAAUACCUAGUAUGUAUGAAUAUUAAAUAGUUUUUCAUUUUGAGAAGAAGCUGUAGAACGACACACGUUACAUGUACCUAUAUUUAUUUAAAUUAAUAAUGUUUUUUUAGUUAACACGUCAUAAAUGACCUAACUUAACACUUUCAUAGCAAUAAAAUGAUUUAAUUUUCAACUUUGAAGGUAGUUUUUAAUAAAAAUUUAAUCUAGUUGGCACUUAGUACCUUACAAAAGAUCAAAAGUAAAAAUUUUCAGUAUUUUUAAAAUAAUCGAAAAAUAAAACAAGGAAAAACGGAAAUUUUUACACAAACCUAGUUUUUGACAAAAUCGAUUUUGUUACUCACAAACAAAUAAACGUAAUUAAUGAUUUUCUAGAUGUUUUUUUGUAUUCAAAAUGUUAUUUCGAGAACUUGAAAUUUUUAACGUUUAUUAUUAUAUUUUAUAGUUAUAUUAAAUUACUACUUUAUAUAUUAUUGUCAAUCGAUUGUGAUUGUCCCUCCCGGUUGAUAAUCCUUUCGGUAUUUUGGUUCUUGCGGUAGAUUGACCCAACAGAAGGCUAAAACUACACUGAAUACCUAACUACACUUUACAGCGAGCCUACAGCUUACAGAUUACCUAUACUAAUUUUCUUUUUUUAAUAAUGAGAAAAACUAUAAAAAAAAUACCAAAAAGCGGUAAUAUUUACGCAACACCUGCAAUUUUUAUUUUUUAUUUUGUAAUGCAUAAAGGAUUAAAGCAAUGGCGUAGCUAUGUUGGGAGCCAGUGGAUCAUGCCCCCCCCCCAUCGGCUGUAUAAACUUAAUAUAAAAAUGAACUGUUAUUGUUAAUUGUUGAUUAUGUUUUUUUAGUAUUUUGGGUUUCCUCCCAUCUUAAAAUCCUGGCUACGCCACUAGAUAGUAGAUUAAAGGAAUAACCAUAGGACCGAGUAUACAUUAUCAUAUUUAAUUUAACCAAUAGUUUGGCAUUUAAAUUGUUACUCAUUUAAAUUUCUUUAAACGUUUCUUAGAGUAAUAAUAAUAAUAAUCAAUAAUAUUAUUAAUUGUAUGUACUGUGUGUUAGUUUAGAAUAAUACAAUUUAAUGGUUUCAUAACAACAUAAAAACUGUAAAUAAUUUAAAAUGUGAUAUAGUAGGUACUUACAUAUUAUUUAUUAAUAUUUGCUAGGUAUAAUAUCUGUACCUAUAUUGUUUUUACGCAGGAAUGUUUAAUCUACUUAUUUAAGAUAAACUUUAUCUCUAUUUAAUAUUUAAUAUCUAAUAUUUGUUAUGUAUAUUAUAUUAUUAUGUUAACAUUAUGUUUUCACUGUUUUACAUAAUUUUUUUAAAUAUUUAUCACGCAAUUAUCAAUAUAUAUAUUUACAAAGUUGUACCAUAGACGCAUAGGCGUAAACUGGGGGGUUCGCAAAGAGGGCCAUUGCCUCUCUAGAACAGAUUAGGAGUAAGUAAUAUAAUAAUAAUCAAUAAUAUAUUUAUAUGUGAUUAUAUAUAUGCCCCCCUAAUAAAUUUCCAAGUUACGCUCAUGCAACAUAGACAGAACAUAAUAAUGUAGGUACCUAUAAAAUAUAUAUACAUAAGGUAUUAACGUAUAAAGGGGAUUACACACUAGGCGAUUCGAACGCGCGUGUCCGCAUUUUUAAAACGUCGCGAUUUUAAAUCGCACUCCUUACACAUUAGACGCGUAUCAACGCGUUCGUCGCGUUUUAAAACCGCGCCGCGCUUUCACACUGGACGAUUUGUGUGCGUUUUUCAAAAAUAAAAAGCGCGCCAAAUGUUAUUUGAACCAUUAAAUUCUUUGUACUUUGUCGUAUACUAGGUUAGUACUGCUGUUACCGCCCGUUGUGGAUGACUGCUGUUCAAUUCGUACUCAACUUAAAAAUUAAUUUUAUUUCGUUUCGUCUAUUUUAUUUUUUAAUAUGGAAGAAUUUGAUGUUAUUGAAGUCGCAUGCAUUAUAUGAUGAACAUGAAGUCAGCAAGAAACAAAAAAGAGACAAAAUUAAAAGACGACAUUGGAUCUAUCCUUUAAAUUUAAAAAGACCAGAAAAUGGUCAGUUCCAGGUGAC
Long non-coding RNA from Rhopalosiphum padi (bird cherry-oat aphid), 3887 nucleotides. RefSeq lists it as uncharacterized. The record is from RefSeq and is a predicted model, not a curated record. NCBI's taxonomy places the organism in Eukaryota, Metazoa, Arthropoda, Insecta, Hemiptera, Aphididae. The transcript is spliced from 3 exons.